This 440-nucleotide ribosomal RNA is filed under the name uncultured bacterium. RNAcentral's name for it is "partial 16S ribosomal RNA". It matches the Rfam family "Bacterial small subunit ribosomal RNA", at positions 338 to 795 of the family's 1533-position model. The record is from RNAcentral.
CCUACGGGUGGCAGCAGUGGGGAAUAUUGCACAAUGGGGGAAACCCUGAUGCAGCGACGCCGCGUGAGUGAAGAAGUAUCUAGGUAUGUAAAGCUCUAUUAGCAGGGAAGAAAAUGACGGUACCUGAUUAAGAAGCCCCGUCCAACUACGUGCCAGCAGCCGAGGUAAUAUGCAGGGGGCAAGCGUUAUCCGGAUUUACUGGGGGUAAAGGGAGCGUAGACGGCAGCACAAGUCAGGAGUGAAAUGCCGGGGCUUAACCCCGGAACUGCUUUGGAAACUGUUCGGCUAGAGUGCAGGAGAGGUAAGUGGAAGUCGUAGUGUAGCGGUGAAAUGCGUAGAUAUUAGGAAGAACACCAAUGGCGAAGGCGGCUUACUGGACUGUAACUGACGUUGAGGCUCGAAAGCGUGGGGAGCAAACAGGAUUAGAUACCCCGGUAGUC